Molecule: long non-coding RNA, 280 nt
Filed under: Mus spicilegus (steppe mouse)
Lineage: Eukaryota; Metazoa; Chordata; Mammalia; Rodentia; Muridae
Description: lncRNA (ENSMSIG00000014698.1)
Source: RNAcentral
GUACCAUAUCUCUCUGGGUUGCAAGUCAAGGUUUACAAAUAUACAAAUUGAAAUAUUUCAACAUGAGAGAAGAGAGCCUGGAAGAAGUUGCCAGCCCUGUCACUUCCCUGAACGGCAAAUGUGGUCUCUCACUUCCUUAAUCCACAUUCAUUCCUGGGGCCCUCUUGUCUCUUAUAUCUAUGCCAGGAAUCAACAAUGCUUAAAACCUAUUAUGAAGUUUUCAAGGUGUUCAAGAUGGAGGCAUGAUUACACAACUAGCCAAGUGCAUAGCCCAAUAAAG